Molecule: long non-coding RNA, 184 nt
Organism: Tupaia belangeri chinensis (Chinese tree shrew)
Lineage: Eukaryota; Metazoa; Chordata; Mammalia; Scandentia; Tupaiidae
Exons: 2
Source: RefSeq, a predicted model, not a curated record
AGCUAUGGGAAGAGGGGAAAUGUUCUCUAGUCCUGUGAUUAAGUUCUGGUUUUUCAGUGAGAGAUCCUGGACUGCAGACUUCACAAGUACUUGUCAGUCCUCACCCAUAUGGAUGGCUAGAGCUGGCUUUCCUUUCCCCAGGUCAAAAUGAACAAGAGACAUAUGAGCGUGGGUCAGCAAACGC